RNAcentral lists this ribosomal RNA (429 nucleotides) under Verrucomicrobiota bacterium. RNAcentral describes it as "Verrucomicrobia bacterium partial 16S ribosomal RNA". It matches the Rfam family "Bacterial small subunit ribosomal RNA", at positions 355 to 776 of the family's 1533-position model. Lineage: Bacteria; Pseudomonadati; Verrucomicrobiota. The record is from RNAcentral.
UAGGGAAUCUUCCGCAAUGGACGAAAGUCUGACGGAGCAACGCCGCGUGAGUGAAGAAGGAUUUCGGUUCGUAAAACUCUGUUGUUAGGGAAGAAAAAAUGUAUAGUAACUAUAUACAAAAGAGACGGUACCUAACCAGAAAGCCACGGCUAACUACGUGCCAGCAGCCGCGGUAAUACGUAGGUGGCAAGCGUUGUCCGGAAUUAUUGGGCGUAAAGCGCGCGCAGGUGGUUUAGAAAGUCUGAUGUGAAAGCUCACGGCUCAACCGUGGGGGGUCAUUGGAAACUAAUAAACUUGAGUGCAGGAGAGAAAAGUGGAAUUCCUAGUGUAGCGGUGAAAUUCGUAGAGAUUAGGAGGAACACCGGUGGCGAAAGCGGCUUUUUGGCCUGCAACUGACACUGAGGCGCGAAAGCGUGGGGAGCAAACAGG